CGAUGAGGUUUCUAUACUGAAAGGCUAGCCAUAUGAAGAUUUUGACCUUAGGCGGUAUAGAUAAGGACCAUAUGGCCAUAGGUAACUUUGAGAUUAUCCCAUUGUGGAUGAAGAAGUUGUAGGCACUGCUAACUGAGGAGAUACCAUUUGCUCGCCAUAUCCAGUGCAAGACGUCCUCUUCUGAUGCUAGAUGAAUAGUUGAGAGGAGCGUUUGUUAGCGG
This 221-nucleotide long non-coding RNA is filed under the name Elaeis guineensis (African oil palm). Its description in RNAcentral is "long non-coding RNA (EGUI_LNC059121)". The record is from RNAcentral. Lineage: Eukaryota; Viridiplantae; Streptophyta; Magnoliopsida; Arecales; Arecaceae.